GGAGCCGGCCAGACAGUCGCGUCAUCGAGUGAUCGAUGCCGAGGAAAGUCCGGGCUCCACAGGGCACGGUGCCAGGUAACGCCUGGGCGGCGCGAGCCGACGGAAAGUGCAACAGAAAGAUACCGCUGACGUUCGCGCGAGCGAGCAAGCAAGGGUGAAAUGGUGCGGUAAGAGCGCACCGCGAGCCUGGCAACAGGCCGGCACGGCAAACCCCACCGGGAGCAAGGCCAAAUAGGGUGACGAUGACGCGGCCCGCGGAGUCACCGGGUAGGCUGCUUGAGCGUCGUGGUGACACGGCGCCUAGAGGAAUGACUGUCCCAGACAGAACCCGGCUUAUCGGCCGGCUCCGCCA
Molecule: RNase P RNA, 352 nt
Filed under: Lysobacterales bacterium
Lineage: Bacteria; Pseudomonadati; Pseudomonadota; Gammaproteobacteria; Lysobacterales
Description: RNase P RNA component class A
Rfam family: Bacterial RNase P class A
About the family: Ribonuclease P (RNase P) is a ubiquitous endoribonuclease, found in archaea, bacteria and eukarya as well as chloroplasts and mitochondria. Its best characterised activity is the generation of mature 5'-ends of tRNAs by cleaving the 5'-leader elements of precursor-tRNAs. Cellular RNase Ps are ribonucleoproteins.
Source: RNAcentral